This 212-nucleotide unclassified non-coding RNA is filed under the name uncultured Trichoglossum. RNAcentral describes it as "sequence contains ITS2". Lineage: Eukaryota; Fungi; Ascomycota; Geoglossomycetes; Geoglossales; Geoglossaceae. The record is from RNAcentral.
UACAAUCUUCAAGCCUAGGCUUGGUGUUGGGUCUUCAUCUCUUGCUCUCUCUCCCCCUCUCUGCUUUUUAAGUAGGAGGAGAAGGAGGAGGACCUGGAUGUACCUGAAAAUUAGUUGGCGGUGCCUAUGGUGGCCUCAAGCGUAGCAGACUCUCUCUCGCUUUGGAUGGCCUGUCAUAUAGCUUACCAGCCCUGCAUACAUCUUUAACCAAA